AGGAUAAACGCUGGCGGCGUGCCUAACACAUGCAAGUCGAACGUCCUGUUCUCGCAAGAGAGCAGGGAGUGGCGGACGGGUGAGGAACACAUGGGUACCUACCCCUGAAGUGAGGGAUACCGGCGAGAAAUCGCCGACAAUACCGCAUAGGCUCUUUCUCGCGAGAGAGAGAGCAAAGCUUCGCGCGAGCGGGGCGCUUUGGGAUGGGCCUGUGGCCGAUUAGCUAGCUGGUGGGGUAAUGGCUCACCAGGGCGACGAUCGGUAGCUGGUCUGAGAGGACGAUCAGCCACACUGGGAUUGAGAACGGCCCAGACUCCUACGGGGGGCAGCAGUGAGGAAUUUUCCGCAAUGGACGC
RNAcentral lists this ribosomal RNA (356 nucleotides) under uncultured bacterium. RNAcentral's name for it is "SSU rRNA". It matches the Rfam family "Bacterial small subunit ribosomal RNA", at positions 26 to 378 of the family's 1533-position model. The record is from RNAcentral.